Molecule: ribosomal RNA, 165 nt
Filed under: uncultured bacterium
Lineage: Bacteria
Description: partial 16S ribosomal RNA
Rfam family: Bacterial small subunit ribosomal RNA
Source: RNAcentral
CGGGAGGCAGCAGUGGGGAAUAUUGGACAAUGGGCGAAAGCCUGAUCCAGCAAUGCCGCGUGAGUGAUGAAGGCCUUAGGGUCGUAAAGCUCUUUUACCAGGGAUGAUAAUGACAGUACCUGGAGAAUAAGCUCCGGCUAACUCCGUGCCAGCAGCCGCGGUAAU